UACGUAGGAUCCAAGCGUUAUCCGGAUUUACUGGGCGUAAAGAGUUGCGUAGGUGGCAAAGUAAGUCAGUAGUGAAAGCGUGUGGCUCAACCAUACUCACAUUACUGAAACUACUUAGCUUGAAGAUGAGAGAGGUCACUGGAAUUCCAAGUGUAGGAGUGAAAUCCGUAGAUAUUUGGAGGAACACCGAUGGCGUAGGCAGGUGACUGGCUCAUUCUUGACACUAAGGCACGAAAGCGUGGGGAGCAAACGGG
RNAcentral lists this ribosomal RNA (254 nucleotides) under uncultured bacterium. RNAcentral describes it as "partial 16S ribosomal RNA". It matches the Rfam family "Bacterial small subunit ribosomal RNA", at positions 524 to 776 of the family's 1533-position model. The record is from RNAcentral.